Molecule: small RNA, 117 nt
Filed under: human gut metagenome
Description: Ribosomal protein L10 leader
Rfam family: Ribosomal protein L10 leader
About the family: This family is a putative r-protein leader autoregulatory structure found in B. subtilis and other low-GC Gram-positive bacteria. It is located in the 5' untranslated regions of mRNAs encoding ribosomal proteins L10 and L12 (rplJ-rplL). A Rho-independent transcription terminator structure that is probably involved in regulation is included at the 3' end.
Source: RNAcentral
AUAAUAUUAUUUGUGCCGUAGACAGCAGGUGCCUUUAAGGCGUAACGUGAAUACCUGCCGAGGAUACAAUUAAUUUGUAUUUAUCUCUCUGUCCAUACGGUCAGAGAGUUUUUUUAU